Molecule: ribosomal RNA, 505 nt
Filed under: uncultured bacterium
Lineage: Bacteria
Description: bacterial SSU rRNA
Rfam family: Bacterial small subunit ribosomal RNA
Source: RNAcentral
AGAGUUUGAUCCUGGCUCAGAGCGAACGCUGGCGGCGUGCUUAACACAUGCAAGUCGAACGAGUGUAGCAAUACAUUCGUGGCGAACGGGUGCGUAACACGUGGAUAACCUUCCUUGAGGUGGGGAAUAACCCCGCGAAAGCGGGGCUAAUACCGCAUAACAAAGCGAUGGCACAUGCUGUUGCUUUCAAAGGAGCAAUUCGCCACAAGAGGGAUCCGCGGCCGAUUAGCUAGUUGGUGAGGUAACGGCUCACCAAGGCUAUGAUCGGUAGCCGGACUGAGAGGUUGGCCGGCCACACUGGAACUGAGACACGGUCCAGACUCCUACGGGAGGCAGCAGUGGGGAAUCUUGCACAAUGGGCGAAAGCCUGAUGCAGCAACGCCGCGUGGGGGAUGAAGCUUCUCGGAGUGUAAACCCCUUUCGACCCGGACGAAUGCCCGCAAGGGUUUGACGGUACGGGUAUAAGAAGCCCCGGCUAACUACGUGCCAGCAGCCGCGGUAAUAC